GACGAACGCUGGCGGCGUGCUUAACACAUGCAAGUCGAACGAUGAUGCUGGAGCUUGCUCCAGUUGAUUAGUGGCGAACGGGUGAGUAACACGUGAGCAAUCUGCCCUUGACUCUGGGAUAACUGCGGGAAACUGUAGCUAAUACCGGAUACUUUCACCGGAAGGCAUCUUUUGGUGAUGAAAGAAUUUCGGUCAGGGAUGAGCUCGCGGCCUAUCAGCUUGUUGGUGAAGUAACGGCUCACCAAGGCGACGGCGGGUAACCGGCCUGAGAGGGUGACCGGUCACACUGGGACUGAGACACGGCCCAGACUCCUACGGGAGGCAGCAGUGGGGAAUAUUGCACAAUGGGCGCAAGCCUGAUGCAGCAACGCCGCGUGAGGGAUGAAGGCCUUCGGGUUGUAAACCUCUUUUAGCAGGGAAGAAGCGAAAGUGACGGUACCUGCAGAAAAAGCACCGGCUAACUACGUGCCAGCCGCCGCCGUAA
This 484-nucleotide ribosomal RNA is filed under the name uncultured bacterium. RNAcentral describes it as "partial 16S ribosomal RNA". It matches the Rfam family "Bacterial small subunit ribosomal RNA", at positions 28 to 523 of the family's 1533-position model. The record is from RNAcentral.